RNAcentral lists this non-coding RNA (48 nucleotides) under Trichobilharzia regenti. Lineage: Eukaryota; Metazoa; Platyhelminthes; Trematoda; Strigeidida; Schistosomatidae. The record is from RNAcentral.
AUCCAGCGGAUGACGAGUCCCAAACAGGACGAAAUGCGCAUCCUGGAU